AGAGUUUGAUCCUGGCUCAGGACGAACGCUGGCGGCGUGCCUAAUACAUGCAAGUCGAACGGCCUUUUCUAUGGAAGCUUGCUUCCACUGAGGAGAUAGUGGCGAACGGGUGAGUAACACGUGGGUAACCUGCCCAUAAGAGGGGGAUAACAUCCGGAAACGGGUGCUAAUACCGCAUAGUUUUCUUGAUCGCAUGAUUGAGAAAGGAAAGACGGCCUUUGUGCUGUCGCUUAUGGAUGGACCCGCGGCGUAUUAGUUAGUUGGUGAGGUAACGGCUCACCAAGACGAUGAUACGUAGCCGACCUGAGAGGGUGAUCGGCCACAUUGGGACUGAGACACGGCCCAAACUCCUACGGGAGGCAGCAGUAGGGAAUCUUCCGCAAUGGACGAAAGUCUGACGGAGCAACGCCGCGUGAGUGAAGAAGGUUUUCGGAUCGUAAAACUCUGUUGUCAGAGAAGAACAAGUUGGAGAGUAACUGCUCCAGCCUUGACGGUAUCUGACCAGAAAGCCACGGCUAACUACGUGCCAGCAGCCGCGGUAAUACGUAGGUGGCAAGCGUUGUCCGGAUUUAUUGGGCGUAAAGCGAGCGCAGGCGGUUCCUUAAGUCUGAUGUGAAAGCCCACGGCUCAACCGUGGAAGGUCAUUGGAAACUGGGGAACUUGAGUGCAGAAGAGGAGAGUGGAAUUCCAUGUGUAGCGGUGAAAUGCGUAGAUAUAUGGAGGAACACCAGUGGCGAAGGCGACUCUCUGGUCUGUAACUGACGCUGAGGCUCGAAAGCGUGGGGAGCAAACAGGAUUAGAUACCCUGGUAGUCC
Molecule: ribosomal RNA, 815 nt
Filed under: uncultured bacterium
Lineage: Bacteria
Description: bacterial SSU rRNA
Rfam family: Bacterial small subunit ribosomal RNA
Source: RNAcentral